CGCUGGCGGCAGGCUUAACACAUACAAGUCGAGCGCGUAGCAAUACGAGCGGCAGACGGGUGAGUAACGCGUGGGAAUCUACCCAUCUCUACGGAACAACUCCGGGAAACUGGAGCUAAUACCGUAUACGUCCUUCGGGAGAAAGAUUUAUCGGGGAUGGAUGAGCCCGCGUUGGAUUAGCUAGUUGGUGGGGUAAUGGCCUACCAAGGCGACGAUCCAUAGCUGGUCUGAGAGGAUGAUCAGCCACACUGGGACUGAGACACGGCCCAGACUCCUACGGGAGGCAGCAGUGGGGAAUAUUGGACAAUGGGCGCAAGCCUGAUCCAGCCAUGCCGCGUGAGUGAUGAAGGCCCUAGGGUUGUAAAGCUCUUUCACCGGUGAAGAUAAUGACGGUAACCGGAGAAGAAGCCCCGGCUAACUCCGUG
RNAcentral lists this ribosomal RNA (425 nucleotides) under uncultured bacterium. Its description in RNAcentral is "bacterial SSU rRNA". It matches the Rfam family "Bacterial small subunit ribosomal RNA", at positions 34 to 507 of the family's 1533-position model. The record is from RNAcentral.